RNAcentral lists this transfer RNA (84 nucleotides) under Thermincola carboxydiphila JR. RNAcentral's name for it is "Thermincola potens JR tRNA". It matches the Rfam family "tRNA". From Rfam's summary of the family: Transfer RNA (tRNA) molecules are approximately 80 nucleotides in length. Their secondary structure includes four short double-helical elements and three loops (D, anti-codon, and T loops). Further hydrogen bonds mediate the characteristic L-shaped molecular structure. tRNAs have two regions of fundamental functional importance: the anti-codon, which is responsible for specific mRNA codon recognition, and the 3' end, to which the tRNAs corresponding amino acid is attached (by aminoacyl-tRNA synthetases). tRNAs cope with the degeneracy of the genetic code in two manners: having more than one tRNA (with a specific anti-codon) for a particular amino acid; and 'wobble' base-pairing, i.e. permitting non-standard base-pairing at the 3rd anti-codon position. The record is from Rfam by way of RNAcentral. Lineage: Bacteria; Bacillati; Bacillota; Clostridia; Eubacteriales; Thermincolaceae.
GCGGUCGUGGCGGAAUUGGCAGACGCGCUAGAUUCAGGUUCUAGUGGGCAUUGGCCUGUGGGGGUUCAAGUCCCUUCGACCGCA